Molecule: long non-coding RNA, 297 nt
Filed under: Elaeis guineensis (African oil palm)
Lineage: Eukaryota; Viridiplantae; Streptophyta; Magnoliopsida; Arecales; Arecaceae
Description: long non-coding RNA (EGUI_LNC078674)
Source: RNAcentral
CGUCAAUCUCUGUAUCCCAAUGUGAAAGGUAAGUAUAAAGAAAUUGAUUUCCACUUUGCAUUUACCGAUGCUUUUGAAAGGAUCGAUAAAUUAUUUUGCAACGCUUAAAAGCAUCAAAAAUUACUAUUUUAUGCAUCGGAAAAAAUCGAUGUUCCUGUAAUAUUACAUUUGACGACCUGAACUUUCUACAUUGAAGUUUAGAUUUAUCAGAAGAUGUUUCAACUUCGGACACAAAAAUAUUUUUAUGAUUCAUUCUUAGCCAAACAUGUGGCUGUUAUCCCAACAGUACAUUAUUCA